RNAcentral lists this unclassified non-coding RNA (307 nucleotides) under plant metagenome. RNAcentral's name for it is "partial contains 5.8S ribosomal RNA, internal transcribed spacer 2, and large subunit ribosomal RNA". The stretch from base 1 to 105 matches the Rfam family "5.8S ribosomal RNA", at positions 50 to 154 of the family's 154-position model. The record is from RNAcentral.
GAAAUGCGAUAAGUAAUGUGAAUUGCAGAAUUCCGUGAAUCAUCGAAUCUUUGAACGCACAUUGCGCCCUUUGGUAUUCCAAAGGGCAUGCCUGUUCGAGCGUCAUUUGUACCCUCAAGCUUUGCUUGGUGUUGGGCGUCUUGUCUCUAGCUUUGCUGGAGACUCGCCUUAAAGUAAUUGGCAGCCGGCCUACUGGUUUCGGAGCGCAGCACAAGUCGCACUCUCUAUCAGCAAAGGUCUAGCAUCCAUUAAGCCUUUUUUCAACUUUUGACCUCGGAUCAGGUAGGGAUACCCGCUGAACUUAAGC